GACUCACGCAUCUGGUUCGCGCACAUUCCGAACAAAUGAGACAGUACCAAGGCCACAUUCCGUUCACUUUCCUUCCUGCUCCUCACCGCGUGUGUUCCUGACCCUGUGCUCGUAUUAUCGCUAAAUUCCCGCAUCAUCCUGCCUCUCCCAGCGAUGGUCGGCUGUUUUACGUGUAGUACAAAGAUGGCAGUGAGGGGGGGCAACACAGUGUUCAUUGAUGCCUCGGCACUUGGGGAGCUGACGAGCCAGCUGACGUCCCAAGACCUAGAGAGUCUGGUGGGCUUCAACAUCCAGCCGGCAGACUUGGAGGCUCUGCAGGAGGCAACUGAGGGUCAUGUGGUGGACACUCCUGGAGUGCUCAUCUCUGAUGGGGUGACAGUGGGCAACAUUGUGGAGGUGGAGGGUGGAGAGAGUGGAGUGCUGGAAGAGUCUCAGCAGCUGGACUCCCAUGCUCACCACCAGCCAAUGGAAGUGGACACCCUCACUGACCAUGACCAGGUCAUUGGUGAAAUGGACAUGCUGCAGCAGGGUGGUGAGCUGAUUGGCAUGGCAGGAGAGAUGUCCACAGGCGGUGAGGCUGCCACCACCUCGGCUCUGCUGGCUUCUGUGUCUUCGGGUGACUCCUCUUCCUCCCAGAUAGUUUCAGAGACGCCACAGCUCAUAAAGAGCAGCUUGGGCCAGUUUGUAGUUCUGCAGCAGAACCAGCAGAAUAACAUCUCUAUUGGUUCUAUGGCCAACCGAAUCAUCACAUCGGGCGGCCAGGUCGUGAGCACAGUGUCGGGCCCUAGCAGCAGCAACAACAGCAAGCCGGUGGUGGUGAACACAUCUCAGCUCAGUGGGGGAGUGAGGCAGCAGAUGGUGGUCACCUCGCAGGCCCACCCAGUGCGGACGGAGCAUCAAACCAGAUUCCUCCAGGAACCAUCAUCCCACACACCACAAAGCCACAGCCUUCUCGCACAAUCAUUGAUGCAAAUGGGAUCAGACCAAGAAAACCUUGCAACUGUAAAAAGAGCCAGUGUCUUAAAUUAUACUGUGAUUGCUUUGCAAAUGGAGAAUUUUGCAACAACUGUAAUUGUGCAAACUGUUUCAACAAUUUAAAUCAUAAGGAGGAUAGACAGAAAGCAAUCAAGACAUGUUUGGAUAGAAAUCCCCAAGCUUUCCGGCCAAAGAUUGGCAAAGGUGGAAGCGAUAAUGAAAGGAGACACAACAAAGGCUGCAACUGUAAGUGGUCUGGGUGCCUGAAGAACUACUGUGAAUGUUAUGAGGCCAAGAUCCCAUGCUCCAACAUGUGCAAGUGUGUGGGCUGCAAGAAUGUGGACAUGACACCAGCACCGGAGAGGAAGGGACUGAUGCAGCUGGCCGAAUGUGCUGAAGCACGGGUCAAUCAGCAGAAGGCCGUUAAAUCAAAAUUACCUUCAUUCUCACAUCACUCACCCAAUAAAAUGAUUCUUCCUACCACUUCAAAGUAAGCAUUACUUGAGUACUUCAAGACAAAUUUUAAACCUAAGAAAUGUUGGCCCACUUGUAGCAGGAAAAGAGCAUCUGAGGAGCCAUAGUAGUUUUUGCAGGAUAUCAAAGAAACCAUGAAGUUGCUUUGGUAAUAGAGCUAUUGAUUUAAUCUUUUCAUAAAUACCAUACAUCUCUUAAAAAUUCCAGUUUGUGGUAAGAUAACUAUAAGAUGACAUAUAGCACAUAACAAACAGUGAGAUAAACAGUCCUCAAGAAGAAUUUGUCACAAGUUUUUAUGAACACAAUGUCAUUUGGGGAAGAAAAUUCAAGCAGAAAAGAAAGAUUCUAGGCUCUAGAAUCUUUCUUUUCUGCUUGAAUUUUCUUCCCCAAAUGACAUUAUUUCAUUAUCGCUUCCACCUUUGCCAAUCUUUGGCCGGAAAGCUUGGGGAUUUCUAUCCAAACAUGUCUUGAUUGCUUUCUGUCUAUCCUCCUUAUGAUUUAAAUUGUUGAAACAGUUUGCACAAUUACAGUUGUUGCAAAAUUCUCCAUUUGCAAAGCAAUCACAGUAUCUAAGGAAGAAAGAAAAGGUCACUUAAGUACAUGCAAAAUAGCCUCCAUUUCGCCACAUGCUGACGAACCACCAAUGUGGGAAAACAGUUUACUCAUACAUUCUCAAAAUGGGUACCGGUGUAUUGAUAGGAAAGGACUCAAUGAGCUUUUUUGUAGUUCUGAUGUCAAGAAGGAAGGCAUGAAGAGGAUAUGGUGGAGGGGAGCUUUUUUAAAGUAAGCAAGAAUACUCACAAUUUAAGACACUGGCUCUUUGUACAGUUGCAAGGUUUUCUUGGUCUGAUCCCAUUUGCAUCAAUGAUUGUGCGAGAAGGCUGUGGCUUUGUGGUGUGUGGGAUGAUGGUUCCUGGAGGAAUCUGGUUUGAUGCUUGAAUUGUGCUGUUGCUUGUAGUGUUUGACUGAAGCUGUAACAUAGCAGAAUUUAAUUUAAACUUUAUCCUAUGUUAGGUAACAAUUUUGAAAUAUUU
Scylla paramamosain (green mud crab) is the source of this 2483-nucleotide RNA transcript. RefSeq lists it as uncharacterized. Lineage: Eukaryota; Metazoa; Arthropoda; Malacostraca; Decapoda; Portunidae. The record is from RefSeq and is a predicted model, not a curated record. The transcript is spliced from 7 exons.